GAUGAACGCUGGCGGCGUGCCUAAUACAUGCAAGUCGAGCGAACGGACGAGAAGCUUGCUUCUCUGAUGUUAGCGGCGGACGGGUGAGUAACACGUGGAUAACCUACCUAUAAGACUGGGAUAACUUCGGGAAACCGUAGCUAAUACCGGAUAAUAUUUUGAACAGCAUGGUUAAAAAGUGAAAGACGGUCUUGCUGUCACUUAUAGAUGGAUCCGCGCUGCAUUAGCUAGUUGGUAAGGUAACGGCUUACCAAGGCAACGAUGCAUAGCCGACCUGAGAGGGUGAUCGGCCACACUGGAACUGAGACACGGUCCAGACUCCUACGGGAGGCAGCAGUAGGGAAUCUUCCGCAAUGGGCGAAAGCCUGACGGAGCAACGCCGCGUGAGUGAUGAAGGUCUUCGGAUCGUAAAACUCUGUUAUUAGGGAAGAACAUAUGUGUAAGUAACUGUGCACAUCUUGACGGUACCUAAUCAGAAAGCCACGGCUAACUACGUG
This 497-nucleotide ribosomal RNA is filed under the name uncultured bacterium. RNAcentral describes it as "partial 16S ribosomal RNA". It matches the Rfam family "Bacterial small subunit ribosomal RNA", at positions 28 to 507 of the family's 1533-position model. The record is from RNAcentral.